CCUACGGGAGGCAGCAGUGGGGAAUCUUGCACAAUGGGGGAAACCCUGAUGCAGCGAUGCCGCGUGAGUGAAGAAGGCCUUUGGGUUGUAAAACUCUUUCGUCGGGGAAGAAAAUGACUGUACCCGAAUAAGAAGGUCCGGCUAACUUCGUGCCAGCAGCCGCGGUAAUA
RNAcentral lists this ribosomal RNA (170 nucleotides) under uncultured marine bacterium. Its description in RNAcentral is "partial 16S ribosomal RNA". It matches the Rfam family "Bacterial small subunit ribosomal RNA", at positions 338 to 525 of the family's 1533-position model. The record is from RNAcentral.